Saccostrea echinata is the source of this 717-nucleotide long non-coding RNA. RefSeq lists it as uncharacterized. Lineage: Eukaryota; Metazoa; Mollusca; Bivalvia; Ostreida; Ostreidae. The transcript has 4 exons. The record is from RefSeq and is a predicted model, not a curated record.
CUUUGUUCUUAAUUGUACCAUUCCUCUUUGGUACCAAUCUUACCGAUGCUAGAGAGAAGGAAAAUGAAAUAAGAUUCGGUAAAGGGAGAUACGACAUUGAGAAACAAUGCUGGACGGAAAAACCUACAAAGCCCCGCUUGGAGGUCCGUUCUGAGUGUCAGUCUUUGACAAUCAGGAGAAAGAUUCUUCGUGCCCUGAAACGGAGGCCAGGAAUAAGGGAGUUUCUUGAGCAAAAGUCACGUGAUUGUAAACUAAGGAGAUAUAUUGGACUGAAAAACGUUUGUCCGCACAAAUUCCAGUAUGUAACAAGGAUAGUGAGAUACAGAAAUUCAUGCUAUGUUGUAUUUCCGCACAGGCAAUGUAUAACAUACGCCAACUGUGAAAAGAAAGAGGGUUGCUCGAAAAAUGGUCGUGUGAAGAGUGCUUGUUUACCAGAUCAACACCGCAUUUAUAAAGUCUUGGUUUAUUGUGUAGACAAGUAUCGAUUUGAACUGGAAACCUUGGAGUUACCUCAGUGCUGUACCUGUAGAGAAUACUCGCUUUGCGAUGGAGAUGACGAUGACGACGACGAUGACGACGAUGAUGUCGAUAACGAUGGACGAUAAUGAUUAUCGUAAUGUAAGCAUAGGUUGGAAUAGAAGUUUUGAGGCACCGAAAAAGGUGAAAAAAAUAUGACAGGAUCUCAUAAAUUUCUAUAGAAGCACAGCCUUUAAUAUG